Molecule: non-coding RNA, 370 nt
Filed under: Shimwellia blattae DSM 4481 = NBRC 105725
Lineage: Bacteria; Pseudomonadati; Pseudomonadota; Gammaproteobacteria; Enterobacterales; Enterobacteriaceae
Source: RNAcentral
GGUCGGCACGGUGAAGAGAACAUCAGGAUGAUGGCUCAUCACCAACAGGACACACCAGGACGGUGAUACAGGGAAAGGCCUCAGGAUGAGGUAUCAGGAUAACGCAGGAACGCGUAAGGGACACCUCCAGGAAGGAGAACGAGAGCCGGACGGGACGGAAGGCGGGUCAGGAAGGCCAUAGGAUGACACAUCAGGAUGAUGUAAAGGAACAACCAUCAGGAUGAUGGAUGCAGGACGCCACGGCAAUGGAUAGCAGGUCAGGACAGACCACAGGAAAAGUUGUCAGGGAUGAGCAGGGAGCACCAAAAGUAGCCGGAAUGCUGCGAAACGAAUCGGGAGCACUGUGAAAGCAGUGCUCCUUUUUUUUAUG